GGCAGUGUGGUCUAAUGGGAAGAGCACAGGCCUGAAAGGCAGAGGAACUGGGUUCAAAUCCCAGCUCUGUCA
RNAcentral lists this transfer RNA (72 nucleotides) under Ornithorhynchus anatinus (platypus). It matches the Rfam family "tRNA". Rfam says of the family: Transfer RNA (tRNA) molecules are approximately 80 nucleotides in length. Their secondary structure includes four short double-helical elements and three loops (D, anti-codon, and T loops). Lineage: Eukaryota; Metazoa; Chordata; Mammalia; Monotremata; Ornithorhynchidae. The record is from Rfam by way of RNAcentral.